GAAACAGGUUUGCCAGCAACAAGGACUGCUAAUCUUUGUCCCCUCGGUUGGACUCCGAGGCUGAUUCGCCAA
RNAcentral lists this transfer RNA (72 nucleotides) under Ambassis gymnocephalus (bald glassy). Its description in RNAcentral is "tRNA-Ser". Lineage: Eukaryota; Metazoa; Chordata; Actinopteri; Ambassidae. The record is from RNAcentral.